This 182-nucleotide ribosomal RNA is filed under the name Parachromis managuensis. RNAcentral's name for it is "partial small subunit ribosomal RNA". The record is from RNAcentral. Lineage: Eukaryota; Metazoa; Chordata; Actinopteri; Cichliformes; Cichlidae.
AGAGGCCCAAGUUGACAGGUGCCGGCGUAAAGAGUGGUUAAGGGAAACCAUCCAACUAAAGCCGAACACCUUCAUAGCUGUUAUACGCUUCCGAAGGCAUGAAGCCCCACCACGAAAGUGGCUUUACUUCCCCCGACUCCACGAAAGCUGCGGAACAAACUGGGAUUAGAUACCCCACUAUG